CAAAAACAUGUCUCUAUGAAACUUAAUAUAAAGUCUCACCUGCCCACUGAUUUUAAAAUAUUAAAGGGCCGCGGUAAUUUGACCGUGCGAAGGUAGCAUAAUCACUUGUCUUUUAAUUGAAGGCUAGAAUGAACGGUUGGAUGAAAAGCAGAUUGUCUUCUUCUCUGUUAAUAUAAUUUUACUUUUAAGUGAAAAGGCUUAAAUAAAAUUAAGUGAAGAUAAGACCCUAUAAAACUUUUAUAUAAAAAAUUAUAUUCUAUUUUAUAAACCGUAGAAAAUAAAAUAAUCUAAUUAUAUUUUGUUGGGGCGACAAAAAUAAAUUUAAAAACCUAUUUUCCAAAUAAACUAAUAAUAAUUAAACUGAUCCCCUCUUAGGGAUUAAAAGAACAAGUUACUUUAGGGAUAACAGCGUAAUUCUCUUUAAGAGACCUAAUCGACAAGAGUAGUUGCGACCUCGAUGUUGAAUUAAAAUUUUCUCUACUCAGAGCAGCCACUGAUGUAGUAAGUCUGUUCGACUUUUAAAAUUUUACAUGAUUUGAGUUCAAACCGGUGUAAGCCAGG
Molecule: ribosomal RNA, 561 nt
Filed under: Madangella koumacensis
Lineage: Eukaryota; Metazoa; Arthropoda; Malacostraca; Decapoda; Palaemonidae
Description: partial large subunit ribosomal RNA
Rfam family: Archaeal large subunit ribosomal RNA
Source: RNAcentral